Molecule: non-coding RNA, 12254 nt
Organism: Xyrichtys novacula (pearly razorfish)
Lineage: Eukaryota; Metazoa; Chordata; Actinopteri; Labriformes; Labridae
Source: the annotation of a GenBank genome assembly
GUCGGACCCCCACAAAUGACGUAGUCGAAGGACCCGCCGCCUUUAAAAAGCGACACCGGUUUUUCCAACAUGUGAGGAUGAAACCCAUACCGUGGUCACAAAACAAGGGAAACAAAAUGAACGAAUUACAGGGAAGUCAACCAGGUAAACUAUAGUUAUUGAUUUGUUGCCAUUGGUUUGUCUUGGAACUGAUUUGCUUGCAAGGUGUGUCUACCGCGUUUGUGAUGCUAACCUGACUGAACAGGGGUCUGUCUGCCUGUGUUUUGCUUGUUUACCAGGCACUCCCAGGGUUAAAUUCAGUCACCCUAGCCCUGACAGAAUUCAGAUGUAACACAACCAGUCUAGGCUGUAUAAACCUCAGUGGCCUCUGGUUUAUACCGUGAAUCUACGUUAGCAGUUUUACUGAGGUUUUUAUGGACAGAGUUAACAUUUUCAGCAGUAACCUGGGCAUUUGUCCAUGGUCUUGGCAAUACCAUGACAUUGUUUCUUGUGUUUUAGAGUAAAACUUGGGCUAACGGUGGAAAGCAUUAAGUUGCCACUAACUUGUUUAUAAUACUCAAUCAAGAAAGAUGACUACAUGGCCACAGUGGGCAUUAGUAUGCAUGUCUCUUGGUGUAAGGUGACCAAGUAGCCAUAUUGGUUUAGACAGGUGAGGCCUACUGUGCCACAGGCAAAAGACUAAAGCUCAGAGACAUGUCAAACUUUUACACAUCAUGGUUGCUAAACUGUGUGUAGACUAUGUAAUUUACAGAUGCAUUGCAAUAAAUUGGAACAUAAUAAAAAAGAGGAUUUAUUUCAGUAAUUCAAUUUAAAAAAGUGAAACUCCAACUGUAUAUUUUAUCAAACACACAGAGUGAUAUAUUUCAAGGGUUCAUUUCAAAUAUUGUAACUUACAGAUGAUGAAAACCUAAAAUUCAGUGUCUCAGGAAAUUAGAAUAUUAAGAAAGACCAAUAAUAAUAAAAAAAAAAAGUCAACAGAAACAUUGGGUCAGGUGGGUUUGCUAACCAAUCCACCAUGGUUCUUAAACCAGGUAUUGGUACUUUUGGCAGUAUGGGCAGCCAAGUCCUGCUGGAAAAUGAAAUCAGCAGAAGGAAGCAUGAAGUGCUCUUAAACUGCCUGAACGAUGGCUGCGCUGACCCUGGACCUGAUCGGUGGAUGAACACCAGCAGAUGACAUGGCUCCCCAAACCACCACUGGACACCUUUGCAUGGGUUUUGAGUUAAUUAUAUCUGAUCAAAGUGAUACCAUGAGUUUCAAAUGAACUUUUUCAUGAACUUCUGCAAAAUAUUCAAAUUUUCUGAGAUGCUGAAUUUUGGGUUUUCAUCAGCUGUUAGUUACAAUUAUCAAAACACUUGAAAUAUAUCAGCCUGUGAGUGAUGAAUCUAUGUAUGUGAGUUUCACUUUUUGAACUGAAUUACUGACAUAAAUCCACAUUUUGAUGAUUCCAGUUUACUGAGAUGCACCUUUAAUUACCAUCUUGACCUCAACCUACAUUGACAGUUCUGUUUCAGGUGUACUUCUUAUUUUGUAGCUCUACUUGUCAGGUGUCUUGCAUGUCCAUGUCAUUCAUGUUCUUAUGUUUUAUUGUUUUGUUGCUAUUCUGUUGGUAUCUGUAAUAUUGAGCUUCAAAAUUUGAAGAAGUACUAAAUUAUGAUCCUCUAAUUCAUAUUAUUUGCCAUGUUACUGAUAAAGAGGGGAGACAAGUUUGGUGUAAUUUCUUCCCUGCACUUACCUUAAAUUACCACAAGGUGUCACCCUUGCUUAAUAUACGUGAUUUAAUUUAGAUUUUGAACAAUCUAAAUUAUUGGUGUAGAGUAGACUGAUGAGCUGAUUUGGAUAUUCAUAUUUAAAUUUCGUCUGCAUAUUUAUCUCCUUUGUCAUUGAGAGAAACAUGUCUCACAUUGUAACAGUUUUGGUUAUGACUGAUGGCCGAGGAGUCCUUAAUUAAAAGAUUUCACAUGUAAUGAACACAGGUAAAAUAUGUGAUGAGAGCCAUACAAAUCUCACCUACACUGUGUUUUUGCCUAUACUGCUAUAGCUCUCCUGUAAAAGCCAAAUACUCUUAGUAGGGAUCUGUGAGGUUGUAGAUUUCAGGCUUCAGAAUGAAUUAAAGCAUGUGGAGAUACAUGGAACAGACACUCCUCAUGAAUUACUAAAGUGGCUGACAUGUUAGUGACAUUAGAGAGGGUUGGCAACAUUUAUUGUCUUGGCAGUUGUGUGGUGGUGAUGAUGAAACUGUUGAAUUCAGUGAGGAAGUAGGUCACAGUGCUAUAAAAGAUGUAGCUUUGUCGCAUCAAUGUGCUUAAUAUUAUAUUGCUUUACAGUCUUCAUACACACAUGCAUGGCCCUUGGAGGUUAAAUUCACAUGCACUGCUAUUGACAUAAUAUUCUGGCACACAAGCUUGUGCACACACUAUCUGUAUCCGCACACUAUCCACACUAGUGUCACCUUCUUUCACUUUACCAUCUCAGUUUUCCAGCAGUGGGUUUGACUUUGAACAACAUUCACAGAGAAAAUCAAAGAGAAUUCUUUCUCAGACAAACUCUAGUCCACGGUGUACUGAGUAAAGGAUAUUGCAGUUCAAUGUGAUAUUGAAUUCUCUGAGUUUGUGUAAGAGUGUGUAGUCCUUUGCCAGAAACUGUUUUUUUGUGCAGACAGCCAAAAAGAUAAAAAGUGUUCUAGAGAUCCCAUUUGAAACAGAAAAUAACUGUGAUAAAGUUUGCUCUGGAGGAGGCAUUUUUCAAAAAACCUUCCUGUAAAUGCAAAUGCAGAAUUAUAGAUUAAGUGUGGUGUUAUUAUGAAAAAGGACUCUCCAGCUGGAAUCAUUCUCUCUUAAGAUGAAGCUUGUUUCAGGGGUAGAGGAAGAAAACUCAAAGUUAGAUAAGAUUCUAAAAAUAUCUGGUCAUUUCUGUGCAUGGUCCAAGAUAUAUCUGGCAGCAUCCUUAAAACGGUGGAGAUCAAAACCCAAGAUUGCUAACCGGGAGAAAAUGGGCCGAAAAUGUCAGCACUGUUUGAAAAUAAAGUCAGUAAAAAAUAGGCUAUUUAGACAGUCUGUGUAAUGAUAGAUGCACACUGACGCAUCCAGAGGGAAAAACCAUGAGUUCUUUAAACCAAUACUGAAAAAUGAUGUUGGGAGUAUUUGCACACUUUAAUUUUUGCAUUUAAAAAUAAAUACUGAAAUGACACUAAUAGCUCUUCUGUAUUCAGGCUAGAAACACAAUAACCACUGCCGCAGUGUUUUUUUUUUCUAUCUCAUAUAUUUACUUACUUAUGAUGCUUCUGACCUUUGAUUGCUUUGAUUUUUUAACAGUAUUCAUCUUUACUUGUGUGUGCAGUAUUAAGUACCAAUUUUUCCCCACAAUAGUACAGGUUCUAUGUUUAUCCUCUCAAAAGUCAAAGUCAACUUUAUUGCCAAAUAUGCUAUACAUGUUCAACAUACAGCACAGGUGAAAUUUCAGUCCUCUCAGAGCCACGGUACAUAACAAUAAACUAUAGGAAUAAAACUAUAAAAGUAUAAAUAUAGAAUAAACAACUAAGCUAAACAAAAGACUACCUUAAAUACUCACAUCAAUUUACAAAAUAAAGAUAACAAUAUAAACGGCAUAACAGUAUAAACAGUGUGCAGUAUAAAUAUAAGGAGGAAGUUGAGUGGAAGAAAGUGAAUGUAAACAGUAUGGCAGUAUGACAGUCCUGAUGUGGACACAAUAGUGCAAAUAUGACAGUGUAAACAGUAUGGCAGUCCUGAUGUGGACAUAACAGAGCAAAUAUGGCGAUAUGGACGCAAUAGUACAAAUAAAUGUAAUACAGUAGUAAUGAUGGUGCAGUGAUAAGGGAUAAAGUGAAAGUGUGCAGUCCUGAGGUUGGUGUGUUUGUGGGCAUGAAAUGAAAGCAAACUUGUCUUAUUACUUUUUUCGAAGGGGUGUUUAGCAUGGGGUCAUCAUCAUCUGAAAUAAUAGAAAUAAUAUAAAUGAGAAAAACAGAACAGACUGUUUGCCUUAUUUUUACACCGACACAAGGUGGCAGUAUUGAAGCAUAAAAUUACAGUCAUACAUGGCUGUUUUAUCUGUCAAAGCACAGAAAUUUAACCUCACUGCCAGGCUAACACAUACAGAGUUCUACUAGUACUUUUUAAAGAAGGCAUUGCAUUGCAAACGCAGACUACAUUUUUAUAAAAUAUACCCCAAACCACUGAUCUGCUAAGUUUUAACAAUCAUGUAAAAUUUAUUUUCACAUUACACCAACAUGCAGUAGAUCUUGGUUAUCAAGUUAUGGGUCUCGCUCCAGAUAACAUGAACUGAGCGCCAGCUGCUUUGGAGGCUUGAAUCAGUCCUUCCUAAUGCAUAAUCCAUGAGUUUUUAUUUCUCCCUUGAAAUGUGAGUUGUCUCUUUGAAGUGUUUUGCGGUAUUAUUAUACUGCGGUUUGACAAGUAAUAAUGUUGAUGUCUUGUAUGAGCUGUAAUUACUGGAUCUGGAGGUAGGAGGGCAAAGCCAAAAUGGGCUUGAAGUUUCAGUGUGGCCACGCUUUGAUGUUUCAUGGAUGGGUGGGGGAGUGAGGGGAGCUUUUCCACAGGAGAAAAUACCCACAAGUAGCCCAACUUCUUUUACGUAGGGAAACACGCGUAACCAACCAUAAUGAAGCAUAAUGGCAAAUAAAACGUGCGUUCUUUAGAAGAGACAAGCCGUUUAGCAUUUGGCUUCAGUAAUCACUAAAUGAUAAAUACUCUCAUCUCAAGGUAAUUAUGUGUAUCCUUUUAACACUCAUCAAAUGAUAAGCUUUCAUUGUGGUGUUCAAACAGUAUUGGGAGGGAUAAUGGGCUUUGUUUGCACUCAGCAAACCAAACCAGCUGUACUGCACUGCAUGAUAAUACUAUUUUUGUUGGUGCAAUCACUGGCACACUCUCUGUGUUUGUAAUCCAGCGGCUCUUCCUCUUCUGUACUAUGACUUCAACGCUGUCAUCUGUGCGUAAUUCGGUGACCGGAGUCACCGUCCUUGGCUGUGAAUAUUGUUGAGUCAACUUGAAGGUGUGUUUAUACACGUGUGUGUUUUUGGCUGUCAGCAUGUGUGAAGGCCUGUGUACAUCCAUCUGUGUGAGCAUGUACGUGGAUGUGUGUGUCACAACGUGGAGUGUUUAUGCGUGCGUCUGCUGUGUGUGUUUUUGCAGCUCCCGAGCACGGCCUCAUCCUGCAGAGGUGACUGUGAAACGAUGGGAACAGACAUCACUGUUGGAGGAAGAGGGGUUAGCAAGCAGCCGGCAGGAUAUCCCAUCACAUUAGGAGUGCUGCUGCGCCCACUUCCUUCAACUUUCCCAGUGGAGAGGUCAGUAGAGGUGAAGAGGACUCCUCCCUCUGUCAUUAUCCUUCCAUCACCUGCCUCUCUCCCUGCUGACAACAGAGCUUUCUCCCCUUUCUACUCACCCUUUACCCCCUGCACCAGCUUUGGCUCUUUCUGAUCUCUCACCCCUUUUUCUUUUAUGAUUUCCACAUCUUUUUACCCUCCAUCUGUUCCCCAGUUCCCGUCCCUUUCUAAGCCCUGCAUUUGCCUCUUUUUGCUCUUUUGAUAGCUUGGCUUCACUCUCAAUUUUCCUCUGUCAUUUCCCCUCACAGAUUCACAGAACUCUGGGGUCCUUCUUUCUGAGGCCUUUUGUUGAGUCUGCAGCUGAUCUCUAGAUUGCAACAGAGAUACUAUACACCCACUACAGCUCUCACACAGACAGGCUGGAGAUUGAACCAAAUUCUUUCAAAGGAGGAUCUCUGGUGAGUUUUAGCAAGAAAAGAGAGGAAUAGCUGUGUAUUGAGAGCUUGAGACAGCAGCCAAAUGUGUGUCAAAAAUACAGCAAAAAUCUGGGGCGUGUGGUAAUGCAAUAUAGAUGUUAUGUCAUCAUGAAUACUUCAUGAUACACAAUAGUGUGCGAUGAUAGAAUAAUGUAUGGCUAUUGAAUAAACUGAAGCGCAGAGGUGAGGUGAUGUCUUUAAAUUUACACAUGCUAGAUCAUGUGCUAUGAAGAACAAAAAAAACGUCAAACACUGAAUUUUGAUUUUUGACAAGUCUUUAACUCAAAACCACCCCAAUUAAAAUUGUAAUUAACUCAUUUGCAUUCCGCUUAUGAGAUUUCAAAUCCACAAAGUUGUCUCUUUUUUUUACAGAUCUUUUAGUUGUUAGCACAUUUUUCAAACUGUAUUUCCCCGGAUGUGUUUUGACUGUGUUAGCGCCCGGGUGUCUUCAUCAUCAGCUGCUUUGGCAUCAUUCUUUGUCUGACUGGCUCCUCCUGUCUGAGGAAAUGUGAAGUGAACUUGCUUAAUGAGGAGAUGAGAAUAUUUUUACAUGAUUUAAAAAGAGAUCACAGAGCUGACGUCCAGAACAUAUUUCUCUCAAACAACACUUGUCUGAUUACAAAUCAACUAUAAUGAGAGGGGCUGUGGAUGAAAAUACAACCAUCUUUUAUAUUCCUUGUCAAAGGAAACAUGAAACACAUACUGUGGGUAUAAAAAGAUGUCAUAUACUCUUUUACCUCAAUUCAACCACAUCCUUUUGAACACCUAACUGUCCAUAUUUUUACCAUCGAGUUAUUUGUUCAUGUAAAACUUGAACAUGAAAGUCAUUAUUUAGUAACUGUGACACAUUUUUGAGCAACUGCUAUUCGAUGUACCUGUAAUGGCUCCGGUCAGGCCAUUAUCCUCCAUGAUAUCUGGUUAUUAUCCCUGUCUGAUUUAUACCACUUCUGUCGACCCUCACCCACGGUGACCUACAUUCGCUUUCAUCUCGGCCAUCAAUCAUUUAGCAGUUCAAAGUAAAGGUCUGUCUGUGAAGGGACGCUCAGAGCUUGAUCAAAAUGGCAUUAAUUCUCAUAUGACACUGUGAAAGGGUGGCCAGUAGUAUAUCCAAAUGUGCUGUAACUGUACGGCGUUGGAUAAUAAUGAAUUCCAAAUUAUGAUAAACAGGGUUGAGGUUGUUUUGACCAUCAUCAGCCAAGUUAUCCAGCUGUUACAAAAGCUUGGAGUACAUGCAAAUGUGGUUUUCAAGGUUAAAGACCAAUUUGAAAACAUUCUUCUCCCCCCUGUAUUAUGGAGCUCUAUCCAUUAUACCGUAGCUUAGAGAAAACAACACCUGUGAGGAGAUAAUUCAACAAUAACCACCCUUAUAAUCGGUGCUGUUAAGACAGAUCUUGCAGCUGACUGUGGUUCGUUUGCCUUACAAGAACAUACUGUUUACAUACAGCAAAGGCCAGUGAGAAGAGACUGAGCCAAUUGGACAUGCAGACAGAAUUGGAGUAAGACGGAAAGAGAGAAAUGACUUGGACUGAAAAAUAGAUGAGUACUAUGGGUGUGUAAGCAGAGACAGUAUGACUUAUUCAGUAGGGACUGUGUGUGUACAUGUCAUUAAAUCAGCUGCUGUGUCCACAUCCAGCUUCCCAGGUGAGGUCGCUGCCGAGAGUGGAGACAAGGGGGUCAAAUCUAGAUCUGGAUUUGUACCUCAAUCAACAGACUAGGAUGAAGAUGAGAAUACAAUAUGCAAUAUCAGGGGAACAUCUGCUUCCACUCUGUGUGCCAAUGUAGUUGAACAAAGGUAUACUGUUCUCCGUGGCAUCAUUUCCUCAAAAUCAAUGUCACCCAACACCUGAUAUGUGUCAGUAAGUGCGACAAGGUAAGCAAAGGCACACAAAUAACUCGCUUGCUAUUCUUGCUGGUCUGGUUUGGGGUUUUUACUCAGCUGUGAUUAAUGGUACGAAAAAAAAGGACUUGUACUUUGGAGCACUGCAGAGACAUUUGAGCAGGCCUGUUAAAAUAGCUUUUUACCAUAUAAAUGACUAUCACACAAAGCAAUAGCACACAUCACAAUAGCAUGCAAUUUCUGAAUUACAUAUUUAGUAUGAAUCCAGGCAUUUCAGACAAGGGGAUGUGUAAAACUCUGUUUAUCCAGGAAGCGACAAAUAUCAUCAGCAUCGUAAGUGUGCUGUGAUUUCAAAAGGGCUCAAAUUUUGAAAAAAAAAAGGAGGCAAUUUACUCCCUGCAUCUUUGUUAUGUUGUUGCAUCAGCUCCUCCACAGAGCAACAAAAGAGGAAGGAGAGACACACGGGUCCAGACUCAUGUAAAAUGAAAUAGGAAUAUUUUAGACUAGCAGAAUGGCUGCCAUGCAUAAAUGACAAAACCAGUGUCACACAGGUGCUUCAACUCGGAUGACUGUCUUGUCAGAACUUCUGCCAUCAGAGACCCCAUCAGGUUUGGUAAAGCCAUGCAUAUUGUAUACAGGAUAGAUAAGUAGAUUUAUUACAAUAGAUUGUAUUGUAACUAAGAUAAACAAAUGAGGACAAUAAUGUUCAUAUAAAAAUAAUAACCCAAUCAAAAUGGAAAAAAAUGGGAGUAAGCUUGAAAAGAGUUUGGUUUCCUUGUGAAAUCAGGAUCCCGAAUCCAGCAAAACUCUUUAUCAGACAUUUAGAACAAGUUGGACAAUGAUAUGUGACUAACAAGGUCCUUAAUGGUUUUGCCCACAUAUCUGUAAUUAAAUAUUACAAAGUCAAGAUCAAGUAGGCGCAGCGUCUCACACUUGUGUGCCACUCAUCACUUUAAACUUUUCAGAAAAUAUCUUUAAAUAUUAUUGUCACGAAUAGUUUAAGAAAAAAAAAAUUACAAUUUGAUGACGUGAUGACCCAAUUUCUAUACCUGAAUCCUCCAUGGUUUUCACAUUACAUCCUCACUUACUACUGACGUCAACAACCUCUCUGUGUGACUCUUUUAGACCUCAUCAGCAGCGUGACGUCCAUUCGUGAGGUAGAUGAGGGAAGGGGGGAGGACACACAAUCACAUGCACUAAGUCUCCACCCACACAUACUCCGACACACACACAAACACACCAUGUCCCAUCUGAGAUUGUGAAGACUGUGCUCUCUAACUGUCACUCCUAGUUACAGACCUAUCAUGCAGAAAUGCUGACUUAUUCAUGGCUUUCAUGCAAACCUGGAUGCACAGAGGAAACUGAAGCUGGCUGGGGCGAGGCCAAGCUAGCUGCUGUGUGUAUGUGAGGGUACUCAUAGUGUGCUUACUGUACUUUACUCAGCCAUGCUUUACAUCAUUUUGCCAUUACAGGUCAGACACACUCACGCAGACACACAGGUACUCAGUAUAUUGUGCUGACAAAGAUGCCUCUUGCUUACAGUCAAGGCCACUUGCUAAUAUGGCUUUCAGUAUUUUUGGCAACUGUUGACUCCAUAUUAAUGACAGGGUAGGAAUACAGUAUUUGCAUUGAGCGAGGGAGAAUACAUUUUUAAGUUUAUAUCAUCAUAUUUUCAUAUAUAUUCAGGGAGAGGAGCUGGGAACACAGCUUUAAGACACACCAUUCAAGUCUGGAGAGUGAAAAAAAACAGGGAGCAUGGGCUUAUGAAAAAAGAAACCCACUUCUCAUUUGAUUUAUUACCAGAGCAAAGCUUUUCACAAUGAGCUUAUGGUCUCCAGUAGAAGUCUCAAGCAUUCUUCGGUUCAGUAUGACGACCAUUCUGUAAAUUAAACUGUCAUCUGGCAUCAAAUAAAGGCGAGAGAAGGGUUUGCAUAUGAAUGUAGCUACCUGAGAUCAGCAAGAUGAAGCUGUGAAAACCAGUGAGUGCCUUAAUUAGCAUUUGGUUCAGCCAGACUCGCCUAUGUGGCAACUUUUUGUCUUGAGAAUUGAAGCUGAAUUGCUAAAUUAUGCACUUCUUUAUGUGCCCACUAGGGGGUGGUUCCUUUAAAAUAAAGACACACCUUGCUGACAAGCUAGCACUAGAGUUAAUGAAGUGUUUGCUAAUGCCCCCCUCCUCUUCAAGACCACUCUUUGCCCAAAUUGAGCAGAUGACCUAAUUUAAGAAAAAAAAAAGGCACAAAACAGAGGAUGGUGAUUGCCAAAAGGCAAAAUAAAGGCUGUCCUCUAACCAAAAAGUGGCUUCAUGUCAGUUAUGCCUCCGUUAUUGAUAUCAAACCUAGAGUCAUUGACCUAAUUCCUACGUUAUCCACCUGAUAAUUUUAGCUGGAUUCACGUUAACUCUGGUAGACUAAUUGCUGAAUAUCAACACUAUAGCACAAUGAAAUCAAUGCCAGCAGGUGAAUUAUAAUAAACACUGAUUGUUAACAGAACUAAACCUGAUAAAUGAAAAUGAAUACAUGCACACACACAGGUUGAAAACUUUAUCCUUGUUAGUGUUGAUAUUUAAAGGUGAAAAUAGGGAUAAGUAGCUGAUAUGUAGCGUUAGCGGGAGUCAGUCAUCUCUGAAUACAAAUCAGGCACUCUAAACUGUUUGACACUGGCAGAGCUGCAAAAACGGAAGUGGGGAAGCACAAAAAGAUUUAUUUCACUUGGAGACCAAUUAAAUCGGUGUGAAAGUGUUGCUUGACUUGUUGGAUGGUGCUAAGAUAUGUGACUGCUCUUCCUCUGACACUCAAUGGCUCUUGUUUCCUCCAAAACUUGCUAUUGUUUGUGAGUUAUCAUGGGAAUAUGAACUAUGUUUGGGUGUAAAAAGAGAAAGAUGAGGAUAUUAACACAGAAUUUAUAACCAGGGCAUAUGAUUGUCACUUUCUGCAAUUUUUCCAAGAGCUGUUCACACUUGCAGAUGUUAUGUGGGUACAGUUGUGUGCUGCUUUUAUCGAUGUGCACAUGCUCAGAUAUACAUGCUCAUACGUACAUUGAGUGACAUUUUUCAGAUCACUGUCAGGCACAUAAUGAUCAACGGAAUCCCAGUUUUUCGCCUGUCUGUGAAAAAUGACACUUUAUCUAACAAGAUCUGCUGAAUAUUGCUCUUGAUUUGACAUAUGUGACAGUUUCCUGACAUGGGAAGAUGACAUAGUAGAAGUACUGGAAAUGUCAAAACACAUGCAGAAAAAAUGUGCACAAUAUAGCAUAACAUUUUUAUAGCUGCAUGCACUUUUUUGUAUCUUUAUUUAAGAACAAGACUUGAGACACAGAUGUGAACAUGCAGGCACAUGUAGACUGUGUCAACAAACUAUUUUAAAUGUGUCAGGUUAUUUGAUUUCCAAUUGUUUCAGCUUCUUUAACACACUGCUUUACAACACACUAAGUAGCACAAAUUCUUGCCCUUCAACCACAAAUCGAUACAGAGCAGAAGUUUGUGAUUUUAUAUUAGCUCAUUUUUUAGACCAUUUAAUGAAGUGGUAACAGACUCUAGGGGAUUUGAGCUGAAAAAUGUGCAGUGGCAACACGUCAGCUACCUCCUCUUUUAUGCUUAACUACCUUAGAUACAGUGAGGACACCUGUGUGGACUUUUGUGCAAUCCAGCUUUGAAAACUUGGUGGUAUACCGUUUACUUUCUAUCUUUUUAAUGGCUUUUUGGUCUUGUUUCACUUUUAUUGCUGGGGCACCGAAAUGUUUUGUUUUUCUUGUUCUGUUAGAGUCCGAUUAUCCUUUUUUUUUAUUUAGGAUAUUUUACCUAAAACAUGUAUUUCUUUCUGCAAACACUAUUUUGAAGGCAUUAUUUUGCAGCCCUGUCUCUGAUAUAUUAGAUCCCAGCAGAUGGAUUCUGUCAACUGUCCAGCUCUCCAGUCUUAUCACUGACUCCUCUGUUGAUAAAUGAGGUGGAUGCCAUCACACUGAAGAGUCACUCCAUCCUUUUUUUUACUGAUUACUCUGCUGUAUCAUUUUUAAUAAGCUUCCUCUCACCUCCACCUGUGCCUGCAGUAGAAUAAACACCAUGCAUGAUAAACUAUGCUUUAAGUCCCUUGUGUAGUCUUGCGUCUCUUUCAGUACUCAUCAUACAGUGUGCUGAACCUGGACAAAUACCAGUACUUUCACACAUGAAGCUGAUCACCAGUGUCAGACCAGAUCCUUGUAAUCUGUGCUUUCCUGUGUGUUUUCAACACAAUCCCCUUGGGAAUCUCAAUUAUGAGACAAUAGAGACAGCAGAAUGGAGUACAUACAAUGAAAACAGAUAUAGUUGUCUUUUCCCAGAGGUCGCAUGUGGAAAGGUUAGCGAUCAGCAGUAUGUUAGCCACAAAUUUAAGAUGUGACUCCGUGUUUACUCUUUUCAUUUUACACCCUUUGGGGAAAAUAAACAAGCUGCAGUACCCAUUAAAGAACUGAAAGGAGAGGUAGCAGACAGACUCAUUGAUUGGCUUGCACCAAUACAGUGGCAGUUACGACUGUAAAUGGGCUCUGGUUCUCUCUCUGCUGUCUGUAUGAUCCACAGGUGAGCAGCAGCCAUUAGGACUCUGGCAAGCAGCAGCAAUGGCAGUUUUAACAGAUGAUGCUCCUUUAGUGGUCCAGCAGCAAACAAACAAC